GUCAAUUGCUUUAUUAACCAGAUAAAACAGUCUGGGUGAAUUAGCAAGAAUUUUCUCUGCACGCAGAGCUUCCUAGCCUUACUUUCUGAGUUCAGGUAGUUGUUUCUGACACCAGCUUUCCUGGUAUUUCUUGGCAGACGACAGGCCAGAAGGCACCGUUCUUGUGCGGUCUGUUGCUCGGUUCUCAGCCGAGAUAGAAUUUCAUGCUCCCGGCAUCGGGGCAGCUGCGAAACCACAAACCUCAGUUCAGUCCUGAGCAUGCGAAGGUCCGCAGUUGAUUGCAGGGAGGCGUUCGGCCAAGCGAGGACGGAAAUUUGUAUUCUCCCUUUAAAAUUGUGCUUCUGAAAGUAUUUACUAUGACUUAUCAAAAGCGGCUGGCAGUGUCAAGUGAAACCUUUUUCUUGCUUCCCCCUGCCCCCUAGAACUCCUAAGUGACCAGGAACAGACGAUUUUUAACCGAGUUCUGCUGCGUGGAGCCCAGGUUGGCGCUAGUGAGUGCAGUGUGCUGACCCAAGUGGUGGUGGCCCAAGGACGCGCUGACCCGUACAUUUGGCAAAGCUUUCAUUAAAUGUAUCAGAUUCUCGCGGAAGUGGUUGCAGUCCGGAGAGUGAAACAGCUAUCUCUCAAGUCCUGACCGGUUCAGCUGAAAUCUACAUUUGCACUGAAUCUGGCAAAACACGGACGGGUCCGCCCGAGAUCUCAGGAAACCCAGAGCAAGUUACCUCCAUGUAGUUGAUCAUUCUUUCUGAAAGGACGGACACCAUUUACCCCACUGCAAUCCUGUCCAACGGGCAGCUCUGAGUUUAGCUUUAGCGCCAAAGGAUUGAUUUCCCCCACCCGCUGGAGAUUUACUGGGGACGAGCGGGGGAGGGGAGGCGAAGGUACCUCGGAGGAGGUCAAGUGGGGGAGGAGGAGGAGCAGCAGAAAAUUACCAGCCAAGCAGGGGAGGGAGUUGGAAGCCCGGAAAUAUACCAGGAUGCCUCAAGUAACCUUCCUUUAAGUCUCAGAAUUCAGCCCUCGGAAAACAGCCUCAUAAGGUGUCCUGGGAAGGAGUCCUCGGGUGGGCUGCGGAGGUGAUGUCAAGAGUUACAGCUACUUUAUGAAUUAAACUGACGGCUAAGGCAUGUCGGGACAGUUUAGUGUAAGCUGAAUGGUGCGUGGACGGGGCAACUUUUAAAGAGAGGUGGGCAAUCAUUGGUGGCAUCUACCAGUAUAUUCUGCAUGUAACAGUAGUUUGGAAGCUGAAGAAAAACCCCUCAAAUCCCAGUAAAUGCCCGGUCAGUUCGAGAGAGAUUUUAGGGACAAUUUUGAAGGUCGCUGUCUGCUCCAACUCCGCAGAGAUGAACAAGAGUGUGAACUCUGGCGCGGGUGUGUUUAGAAUUAUCUACGACUUCAGAUCCAUGCUGUUGAAACUCAUCAAUUCUUUGUGACUUCACGUGGAGAGAAGAAUUUGCCCUGCCUCCCUACCUGCUAAAUGCCGACUGAGAAAAGGGGCCCAGGAGACGACCCCUUUCAGAAAGAACGUCACUUCAUCAACUCGGCUGAGUUAUUAACUUGCUCCCCGAAAGGUCAACAACGCCUUCUCUUCUCAGCCGCACCGCGCGGAGAUCAAUCGCUUUACCCUAGGUAGCCUCUUGUUCAGGGCUCAGGAACUCCUGUCUUAAGGUCCUUCUGGGGCUCAGAAGCUGUGUUGUGUAUGUUCUUUCCAAGAAUCCCACCUGUCUGCUUUCAAGCACACACGGCGCUAGAAAUUUAGCCUAGCCUGAGUCCUGGGAUGAGAGAAGAGCUAAACAAAGAGACCCCAACCGUCCCCUUGGCCCCCUGCCCCGCCGUUUUGCAGUUUGCCAACCUUCUAGCUAGACAGCCCCCUAAGUCUCCGUGUUGCGAGUGAAAGAGAAUUUUUCUAUUUCAUCUUCCCAUUGACCGAAGCAGAAAAAUUGAACCGAAUCUACGCCCCUUGUUCUGAUUCCUGCUAGAGGAAAACAGAAAAUCAUCCCGCAGGUCUCUUUCAGUCCCUGGAUGGCGAGCGCAGCCCCUGGGAGGCCACACUUAGUUCUUUAUUGUGAAUCUCUCGCUACUCAAGUUCGUUCGGGACCAGGGCCUCGGAUGGCCUCGGUUGCCCGUAAGUACGCGAAAGAAGAGGUGAAUCCAAUCGCUGGCCUAGAGGAUAGUGAUCAGACAACCCGAGGAUUACUAAACAAGGGGCGGCGGUGUCCCUGUCUCAUGGGGUUGGCGUGGGGCGGGGGGUAGGCAGCAAGAUCCUCCAGGCUCCUGGAUGCAAAGAGUGAGAAAGAAAGCGCAGCCUCUGGCAGCCUGCUUAUAAAUGCAGCCUUUCGGAAGAUGAAACUUGCAGUCUUAGGUUGUCCUCCUUUAUAUCCAUGUUCCAAUCCUCUGGGCUUUCCUCGAAAUGAAUAAAAUUGUGGAAAUGAAUGAAUGAGAAUAUCACUUUAAUUGUUUCAAACUCAUUGUCAAGUCACCUUUUCUGCCAUCUGCCAGAGGUUCAAUUUGCGCUUCGUGUCUACAUUCCAGAAAAUUGUAAGGACGUUUCCUCUGCAUCUGUCUGCCUUGUUGGCAGCGUGCGGAAACGAUAACUGCACAGUUAUUGGUACAGAAUAUUUUCAUGACUAGCUUAAUUCUAAAUAUCACCCCAAAAUACAGAUACCUUACUUCUUAGUUGGCAUUAUUCAAGUUUAUUCACUUUGUGCUGCAAAUGUUUGAAUUAGAAAACAGGAGAGAACUCCCGCAGCAGAGAUGCACUUCUCUGCUCUCCUGUCAGUCACAGAACCCACACUGGGUGAUUAGCCAGAGGGGCGGGCUCCUUUGUUGACUUAAGAGUUCACCAGGCAAGAUGGAACAAUUAUCUUGUUGCCUCUUCUUAACUGUCUAUUGUUGACUUACUUCUAGUAUGCUUCCAUUGUACAAAAUUCUAUCCAAAAUUGAAGAAUAAAUCGUAAGUUAAAAAGGUAAUAAUGAUAAUAGGUCUACUUUAAUUUUACCUGGCUUUGUUAAUAGAUAGUCUAUACCUGACAGUCAUAUACAUAAGAGAUGUCGAAAGUAUAUAGCAUAUCAUUUAUGUAUAAUUAUAUAUGUUAUAAUUAUAUGCUAAUGAUACCAUCAUUUAACGUUACAAGGUAAUUCUAUAGAAAACUUGAAGUUCUAUUUUUGAUAUAUAUAACACCCUCUUUACAAGAAAAUAAUUGUCAGGCUUAAAAAUGAUAUUCAAGGGUGCUUUUAUCAAGAGAACAAAAUCUGAAGCUUCAUGAACUAAAAUCCUAUCAAGCAAGGUGGUCCAUAACUAGGUUGCUUUGGGUUAAUGAUAACUUAAAAUACUCUUGUUUUUGUAACUUUUUGUGCACAAAGUGCACAUUUUACAGUUGUGCAUGUCAAUGUGUGUUUUACCACUUAUUAUUCUGAAACCUUCAGUCACAUCAUUUCAGCAGGAAAUAAAACCUGAAUAAGUCCUAGGCAAUGUGUAAGGAAUAAGUAUGGUUUAACUUUUGUAGCUUAACAAUAUUGUGCUGAUCUUUAAAUGCAAAUAUUAAUAUAUUGAAAUUAAUAUAAGUAGAUAAUUUCAUCACCUCCUAAUUUAUAAAAAAUGGAAAAGCAAAUAUAACAAGCUGCUUUACUUUCUAUAAUGUCUAUUUAAGGACCUAUUACCAAAAUAUAGUAAUAAUAGGAUUCAUGUAUGUGUAACACAUAUGUAGCUAUCACUCUAUUAUUGGAGAGUUCAGUCUAGUUAUAAACACACUGAACUAUCAUAUGAUGUGUGCCAUUACUUGAAUGUUGCUAAAUUGAUGCUAUGCUAUAUUUUAAGACUCUCCCUCCUCUUUCCAGAUACAUGUACUAGCCCAGGAAGAUCCCUGCAUCUUGAACAGUAAUGCUGAAUCGGAAACUAUGUCGUUACCCAUAAGUAGAAUCCUCCUGACUUUCACUUAAAUAUCAGGACCCAAAUUAUUUUAUGUCUCACUUCAGAACAUAGCACAAUGUGCUAUUUUAUCUUCUUGGCCCAGUCUUUAGAUUUAUUCUAUACUCUCCGUGUUACAAGCUGCACAAACCAUUGGUGACAAUGAGAACCACUCUAUAUAGUUUUACUGACUUUGGAUUCUCAUAUAAUGUAUGAACAAAUAUAAGCCAUAUCUUUUAGGUCUUGACGAUGUGUUUCUUCCAAUUCUGAAGUGUUCGUAUAGUUGUCCCUAAUGUCACGUGAUACGUCUCUUCGUUGUCCUAUACCCGAGCCAUAGCAGAUCUGAUGUGACUUUGGAUAUACCAUGUGAGGGCAAGCAUUUUCUUUUAGGCUAGGCCAUCAAUGAGGAAGAAACAUGAGUAGAGCUCUUAAAGCAGAGGAAAAUGUAAGUGGAUGGAAAAAAAUCACACUUUUGAAUAUAGUAUUGGAGAAAGAAUUGAGUGUGGGUGACUUUAUUAGCUAGCAGAAGAAAGAGUGAAAAUAGGUGCUUGGCUAAGAUGAGAAAAGUAUUCAAUUUUGAAAACAGAAAGAGAAAGCUUAUUUAGAAAAAGAAAACAUGGAGUAAAUGUCAAGAGGAACAUAAAGAAAUAGGGCGUGGUGACCCAGUUCAUUCUGAUAGAAUAGGCGUUUAAGGGCAAAACCCAGAUCCGAAAUAGGUAGUGGAUGGAACUAGGGAACAGUAGAUUCAUAAUUAUUUUAACUUGGCAUUUAAAACUUUAAAAUCUGAGUUGAGGGGUUUUUUUUAAUGGUAGAAAAGCAGCUUAUUUGGCAAUAAUUUUAAAAACUUCUGUCGCAUCUUUAAUCAUACUAGACUGUUCACCUUUGUAAACUCCUCACUAUCAGUAAACUGUCAGUACACUGUCAGUACAGAAAAUACAAACUAAAAGUACUAGAAAUAUCACAAUACGGAUUUCUCUUUUUAAUGUAACUAGGUUUAUCUAACAAUAAGAUUCAGGAUUCAGAAAAGAAAAAAGACCAGAUCUGAGAAGGAAUUUUAAAAAAUGGUUUCAAAGUUUUCCAGAGUUUUGUUAGCCAUUGCCCUUUCUGCAGACGUGGUUAUAUCAGAAAGUGUAAUUCAAGUAUUUGCACUGCUUACUUAAACCACAAUAAAAAGGGAAAGAUGUUGUGAAAACACUGCCUCAUGCUCAAAUUUAUGCAAAACAACUUGAAAGGCUGCCAGCAACACUGUUGUUAUGUUAGCAGUUCUGAUCUGGCUUCACAUUCUCCUAGAGGAGUUCUUCUGAUGUGAGAAGAAUGUAAACCCAAACCACAAGGGAGUAUUCAUUGUACCUAUGCACUUGGGAAGAGUUUGGGUGCCCAAAAUGUCAGAAAAAUCAGAUACAGUUGUUCUCUUAGAAUCUAUUCUGGAGGUCACAAGGUCAGAAUGCCUGCACAUGUGCAUAAACCAACAUGCCCAUAAAAGCCUGAUAGGAGGCAGCAGUGCCCCAUAAAAGGUCACACCCAGCCAGAAUCCAGCAACGUUGGAACAGCGUCUGUUAUGGAGAAGAAAUAUGUGUCUGACAGCAGCAACAGCAGCAGCAGAGAAAGAUGGAUUGGGGAUUAAUCAUGGUAAGAUACUGAGCAAAAGAGACAACAAAUUCUGCCAAGCAUGAAUCCUUCUCUACUCACAGGUUUCACAAAAUACACUCUUCAAAGUACAAGCUGGUUGGCCAAGGUCAGGUUGAUCUUUGCUAGGCUAAAGAAGCAGCUGCGGAGUGUUUCCCACGGCAGAUGGAGAACACCUAAGGAUUUUUUACUGUUAAAAAAAUAAUAAUUUGUGUUUCAACAGUAGAAAUACUCCUGAUAACACACGUGAUCAAAAUUGCAUUCCCCCUCAGUUCUCAUGACAUUCACUUUGGGGUAAUACCAUUUAAAAAAUAUUAUUGGUAGCUGUUAGCCUGUGGCUUUCCAGGACCUUACUUUUAAUGUAUUUCCCUUGUCUUUCUAGAUUUAACAUAUUGCCUCAUUUCAUAAUCUCCCUUCAUUGAGAUCAUUUGUAUAAGCAAAACAUGUUACAUGACAGUCUUUGGAAGACUGAAUAGGCGCCACUAAAUUGUGCAGUUUAGAGGGCUCUAGGCAAGGCCACCCAGACUGAAAUGGUAGCCCCUCUAUAUCUGUCAAAGCAUCUCAAAUAACUCUAAGAAAGAUUUACUACUUUGACAAUCAUAAAGACUCUUUAGUUUUCAGGAGGUUUUGUUUAGUUUUGUUGGUUGGUUAUUUAAUGCCAAAGCUUUCUGUAAUUGAUUUUUCCUGCUUCUUUACCCAUUUGUACCAUUAUGAAGAUUUCUAUAAUAAGCAUGCCAAUAAUAAGAAAAAAGAAGGAAAGAAGGAGUUGAAAAGGAAAUAAAGAUGAUAAACCUAAAAAUAAAUGAUACACAAUGGAAUACUAUUCAGCAAUUGAAAGAACAACUGAUACAUACUUUAACAUGGGUGGGUGAGUCUCAAUAUGCUGAGUAAAAGAAGCCAGAACAAAAAUGGACACUCUAUAAUUCUACUUAUGUAAAACUCUAGGAUAUACAAACUAGUGUUUGACAAACUGAUAGUGAAAGAAAUCAGAUGAGUGGUGACUGUGGGAUGGAGUAGGCGAAGGGUAGAUGGGAAAGGCAGAGAUUAAAAAGGGACUAGAGGAAAUUUUUGGAAGUGAUAGACAUAUUCCUUAAUUUAUAUUCCUUAUUUUUAUUGUGGUAGUUUAAUGGGGGUAUGCUGUGGCAAAGCUUACCAAAUUAUAUAUUUUAAAUAUGGGCAGUUCAUUGUGUAUCAUUUAUACCUCAAUAAAGCUAUUAAAAAUAGAAAAGAAA
RNAcentral lists this long non-coding RNA (6762 nucleotides) under Homo sapiens (human). Its description in RNAcentral is "ISL1 divergent transcript". The record is from RNAcentral. Lineage: Eukaryota; Metazoa; Chordata; Mammalia; Primates; Hominidae.